CGGGACGUGGCGCAGCCUGGAAGCGCACCUGAAUGGGGUUCAGGGGGCCGUGAGUUCAAAUCUCACCGUCCCGACCA
Molecule: transfer RNA, 77 nt
Filed under: Deltaproteobacteria bacterium
Lineage: Bacteria; Pseudomonadati; Myxococcota; Myxococcia
Also listed under: 1 other name
Description: tRNA-Pro
Rfam family: tRNA
About the family: Transfer RNA (tRNA) molecules are approximately 80 nucleotides in length.
Source: RNAcentral